Molecule: ribosomal RNA, 869 nt
Filed under: Kionochaeta microspora
Lineage: Eukaryota; Fungi; Ascomycota; Sordariomycetes; Sordariales
Description: SSU rRNA
Rfam family: Eukaryotic small subunit ribosomal RNA
Source: RNAcentral
AGCAUUGUACGGCGAAACUGCGAAUGGCUCAUUAAAUCAGUUAUCGUUUAUUUGAUAGUACCUUUCCUACAAGGAUAACCGUGGUAAUUCUAGGGCUAAAACUUGCUAAAAAUCCCGACUUCGGAAGGGAUGCAUUUAUUAGAUACAGAACCAAUGCCCUUCGGGGCUUCUUGGUGAAUCAUGAUAACUCCGCGGAUCGCAUGGCCUUGCGCCGGCGAUGGUUCAUUCAAAUUUCUGCCCUAUCAACUUUCGACGGCUGGGUAUUGGCCAGCCGUGGUGACAACGGGUAACGGAGGGUUAGGGCUCGACCCCGGAGAAGGAGCCUGAGAAACGGCUACUACAUCCAAGGAAGGCAGCAGGCGCGCAAAUUACCCAAUCCCGACUCGGGGAGGUAGUGACAAUAAAUACUGAUCCAGGGCUCUUUUGGGUCUUGGAAUUGGAAUGAGUACAAUUUAAAUCCCUUAACGAGGAACAAUUGGAGGGCAAGUCUGGUGCCAGCAGCCGCGGUAAUUCCAGCUCCAAUAGCGUAUAUUAAAGUUGUUGAGGUUAAAAAGCUCGUAGUUGAACCUUGGGCCUGGCUGGCCGGUCCGCCUCACCGCGUGCACUGGUCCGGCCGGGCCUUUCCCUCUGGGGAACCGCAUGCCCUUCACUGGGUGUGUCGGGGAACCAGGACUUUUACUCUGAACAAAUCAGAUCGCUCAAAGAAGGCUCUCGCUCGAAUGCUCUAGCAUGGAAUAAUAGAAUAGGACGUGCGGUUCUAUUUUGUUGGUUUCUAGGACCGCCGUAAUGAUUAAUAGGGACAGUCGGGGGGCAUCCGUAUUCCAUUGUCAGAGGUGAAAUUCUUGGAUCCAUGGAAGACGAACUACUGC